CUUCUUGUGCUCAAAAAAUUAACAAGAAGAAAAACAAAGAUUUAACUGAUUGUGAGCACUUAAAGCCAGGAGUUGUGUGACAUCAUUUAGGCUUCUGACACACCAAUAGAGCCGCUAUGUGACACGUAUGUAUGAAAAUUACUUUGUGGAUAAUCAACUCAAUGGUUAUCUGCUCCGCACACCUUCCUUUAGAAAAUGUUGAUAUUGAACUUUGUCACUGCAAUCUUUUAACAAACAUUUCCAUUAUGACAAAGGGCAUGCAACAUUUUCUUCUAUAAAUGGUCAGUGAACUACUUUACUUUUAUAUUCCUGGGACCAUUUUAAUUUUAAAUUUUGUAAAAAUUGGCAUUCAGAGUUUGAUUUGUCUUGAUGUUCAUUUUGGAUUAAUUAGCCCUAUGUUAAUUAAGCACAAUAAAAUUAGGUUCAAAUUUUCUUUAUCAUAUUUAAUGUAAUAGAGAUAACUGUAAAAGCAGAUUAUAAAUUAUGAAUUAUUGUAAAAUUUAUAUUUUAAAUAAAUAAAG
This 521-nucleotide long non-coding RNA is filed under the name Centruroides sculpturatus (bark scorpion). RNAcentral's name for it is "uncharacterized LOC111630331". The record is from RNAcentral. Lineage: Eukaryota; Metazoa; Arthropoda; Arachnida; Scorpiones; Buthidae.